UUAGUGGAAGCGUCUGGAAAGGCGCGCGAUACAGGGUGACAGCCCCGUACACAAAAGCGCAUGUGCUGUGAGCUCGAUGAGUAGGGCGGGACACGUGGUAUCCUGUCUGAAUAUGGGGGGACCAUCCUCCAAGGCUAAAUACUCCUGACUGACCGAUAGUGAACCAGUACCGUGAGGGAAAGGCGAAAAGAACCCCGGCGAGGGGAGUGAAAAAGAACCUGAAACCGUGUACGUACAAGCAGUGGGAGCCCCACCACCAAAGCAUUCUCUGGUGUUGAAGGCCCUGCAAAGCAGCAUCGCGGUGGCGGAGCGUCGUUUGCGACGCCCAACACACAAAACAAGCGGUGAGUGCUUUGGGGUGGGGUGACUGCGUACCUUUUGUAUAAUGGGUCAGCGACUUAUAUUCUGUAGCAAGGUUAACCGWAUAGGGGAGCCGGAGGGAAACCGAGUCUUAAUUGGGCGUUAAGUUGCAGGGUAUAGACCCGAAACCCGGUGAUCUAGCCAUGGGCAGGUUGAAGGUUGGGUAACACUAACUGGAGGACCGAACCGACUAAUGUUGAAAAAUUAGCGGAUGACCUGUGGCUGGGGGUGAAAGGCCAAUCAAACCGGGAGAUAGCUGGUUCUCCCCGAAAGCUAUUUAGGUAGCGCCUCGUGAAUUCAUCUCCGGGGGUAGAGCACUGUUUCGGCUAGGGGGCCAUCCCGGCUUACCAACCCGAUGCAAACUGCGAAUACCGGAGAAUGUUAUCACGGGAGACACACGGCGGGUGCUAACGUCCGUCGUGAAGAGGGAAACAACCCAGACCGCCAGCUAAGGUCCCAAAGUCAUGGUUAAGUGGGAAACGAUGUGGGAAGGCCCAGACAGCCAGGAUGUUGGCUUAGAAGCAGCCAUCAUUUAAAGAAAGCGUAAUAGCUCACUGGUCGAGUCGGCCUGCGCGGAAGAUGUAACGGGGCUAAACCAUGCACCGAAGCUGCGGCAGCGA
This 980-nucleotide ribosomal RNA is filed under the name Salmonella enterica subsp. enterica serovar Infantis. Its description in RNAcentral is "partial 23S ribosomal RNA". Lineage: Bacteria; Pseudomonadati; Pseudomonadota; Gammaproteobacteria; Enterobacterales; Enterobacteriaceae. The record is from RNAcentral.